Molecule: ribosomal RNA, 497 nt
Filed under: uncultured bacterium
Lineage: Bacteria
Description: partial 16S ribosomal RNA
Rfam family: Bacterial small subunit ribosomal RNA
Source: RNAcentral
GAUGAACGCUGGCGGCGUGCCUAAUACAUGCAAGUCGAGCGAACAGACGAGGAGCUUGCUCCUCUGACGUUAGCGGCGGACGGGUGAGUAACACGUGGAUAACCUACCUAUAAGACUGGGAUAACUUCGGGAAACCGGAGCUAAUACCGGAUAAUAUAUUGAACCGCAUGGUUCAAUAGUGAAAGACGGUUUUGCUGUCACUUAUAGAUGGAUCCGCGCCGCAUUAGCUAGUUGGUAAGGUAACGGCUUACCAAGGCAACGAUGCGUAGGCGACCUGAGAGGGUGAUCGGCCACACUGGAACUGAGCCACGGUCCAGACUCCUACGGGAGGCAGCAGUAGGGAAUCUUCCGCAAUGGGCGAAAGCCUGACGGAGCAACGCCGCGUGAGUGAUGAAGGUCUUCGGAUCGUAAAGCUCUGUUAUUAGGGAAGAACAAAUGUGUAAGUAACUAUGCACGUCUUGACGGUACCUAAUCAGAAAGCCACGGCUAACUACGUG